RNAcentral lists this ribosomal RNA (886 nucleotides) under Distoseptispora caricis. Its description in RNAcentral is "partial large subunit ribosomal RNA". It matches the Rfam family "Eukaryotic large subunit ribosomal RNA", at positions 47 to 960 of the family's 3401-position model. Lineage: Eukaryota; Fungi; Ascomycota; Sordariomycetes; Distoseptisporaceae. The record is from RNAcentral.
UAAGCGGAGGAAAAGAAACCAACAGGGAUUGCCCCAGUAACGGCGAGUGAAGCGGCAACAGCUCAGAUUUGAAAUCUGGCCCCCCGGGGUCCGAGUUGUAAUCUGCAGAGGAUGCUUCUGGUGAGGUGCCUUCCGAGUCCCCUGGAACGGGGCGCCACAGAGGGUGAGAGCCCCGUAUGGUUGGACGCCGAGCCUCUGUGAAGCUCCUUCGACGAGUCGAGUAGUUUGGGAAUGCUGCUCUAAAUGGGAGGUAAAUUUCUUCUAAAGCUAAAUACCGGCCAGAGACCGAUAGCGCACAAGUAGAGUGAUCGAAAGAUGAAAAGCACUUUGAAAAGAGGGUUAAAAAGCACGUGAAAUUGCUGAAAGGGAAGCGCUUGUGACCAGACUUGCACCCGGCGGAUCAACCGGCGUUCUCGCCGGUGCACUCCGCCGGGUCCAGGCCAGCAUCGGUUUCGCCAGGGGGACAAAAGCCUUGGGAACGUAGCUCCCUCCGGGGAGUGUUAUAGCCCGUGGCACAAUGCCCUUAGGCGGGACCGAGGCCCGCGCUCUGCAAGGAUGCUGGCGUAAUGGUCACCAGCGACCCGUCUUGAAACACGGACCAAGGAGUCAAGCAUUAGGGCGAGUCUUUGGGUGUAAAACCCGCAGGCGCAAUGAAAGUGAACGCAGGUGAGAGCUUCGGCGCAUCAUCGACCGAUCCUGAUGUUCUCGGAUGGAUUUGAGUAAGAGCCUUACCGCUUGGACCCGAAAGAUGGUGAACUAUGCCUGAAUAGGGUGAAGCCAGAGGAAACUCUGGUGGAGGCUCGCAGCGGUUCUGACGUGCAAAUCGAUCGUCAAAUUUGGGCAUGGGGGCGAAAGACUAAUCGAACCAUCUAGUAGCUGGUUACCG